Molecule: ribosomal RNA, 469 nt
Filed under: uncultured bacterium
Lineage: Bacteria
Description: partial 16S ribosomal RNA
Rfam family: Bacterial small subunit ribosomal RNA
Source: RNAcentral
GAUGAACGCUGGCGGCGUGCUUAACACAUGCAAGUCGAACGGUGAACACGGAGCUUGCUCUGUGGGAUCAGUGGCGAACGGGUGAGUAACACGUGAGCAACCUGCCCCUGACUCUGGGAUAAGCGCUGGAAACGGCGUCUAAUACUGGAUAUGUGACGUGACCGCAUGGUCUGCGUUUGGAAAGAUUUUUCGGUUGGGGAUGGGCUCGCGGCCUAUCAGCUUGUUGGUGAGGUAAUGGCUCACCAAGGCGUCGACGGGUAGCCGGCCUGAGAGGGUGACCGGCCACACUGGGAUUGAGACACGGCCCAGACUCCUACGGGAGGCAGCAGUGGGGAAUAUUGCACAAUGGGCGAAAGCCUGAUGCAGCAAUGCCGCGUGAGGGAUGACGGCCUUCGGGUUGUAAACCUUUUUUAGCAGGGAAGAAGCGAAAGUGACGGUACCUGCAGAAAAAGCGCCGGCUAACUACGUG